Molecule: small RNA, 159 nt
Filed under: Oryza sativa Japonica Group (Japanese rice)
Lineage: Eukaryota; Viridiplantae; Streptophyta; Magnoliopsida; Poales; Poaceae
Description: misc RNA Os06g0264800
Source: RNAcentral
GGUGACUCUCUAGAGUGCUUGCUGCUGCUUCCUCUGUGUGAUGUUUGUAUAUCUCUACGAGAAUAUGUUCUGCUCCCAUGUGCAGUAACAGCGUAGUGCAAAAACUGUAUCAAACCUACUAUCAGUUGUUUCUUCGAAAUUCAAAACAAUUUCUUCGCU